UUUACGUAAAAUACGUAAGAAACUGUCCGUUACGCGUAACUACCCACCCCUGGCACUUGCUAUUGAAUUUGACGUAAAUUUACUACCCGAAUUGGAAUGCAAAUUUACUUCACAAGUUAACUAGAAAAAAGUUGUCUUUUGAAAUGGACUUUGUUAGGUGCGGCCCAGCCUUAAGGUUGCUAGAAACUUGUCAUUAAGUUAGCUGAAAAUGUUUCACUGCAGAACUUGCUGAGCAAUUAUAUUUAAAGUGUGGCUAUCAGGGUAGACGAUCGGUGUUUCGACUUCAAAAAACAUCGAUCGAAAAUAUUAAUGUUUACUUACAAAAACAUCUCUAGUCACCCGAAUCCAUCGCAACACUGUACGAUAUGUAUUUAAAUGCCGGCUACACAUUGAUAUAUUCAAUAAAUAUUAGUUAUUAAUAAAUAGUUAACUAAUAACCAACUGAUGAAUAAUUCAUUUAUAAUGUCUCAGUUAACAGAUAUUCAAGUCAAAAUAGAAACUCAAAAUGCCUUGGAAAAUAUUAAUGAUAUGACAGAAAAAAUAAGAGAAAAAUUUAAAUCAAUCAACCAGUUGAUUAAAUCAAAAGGUCUGUUGGAAAAAUUAUCAAUUGAAGCCAAUAAUAAAUUAACUAACCAAGCACAGCAGCUGGGAAAAAUAGUUGGUGCAUUAGAUGAUUUUGAGGAAGCUGAUCAAGAUGAUAAUCAGAAUUUAAAGUCGUCAAUUGAUGCAGUGACACAAAAAUUUAUGGAAAUUAUGGAGGAUUCGUGAUUUACAGUAAAUCAAGUGCUUAUUACAUUUCAAACAU
Molecule: long non-coding RNA, 805 nt
Organism: Microplitis mediator
Lineage: Eukaryota; Metazoa; Arthropoda; Insecta; Hymenoptera; Braconidae
Exons: 3
Source: RefSeq, a predicted model, not a curated record